UAUGCUAGGGGAGCCUUUUGGCUGAGAAGUUUUUUAACUGACCCUUUGAACCUGAUCUGGAUAGUACCAGCGUAGGAAAGCUAUUU
This 86-nucleotide non-coding RNA is filed under the name fish gut metagenome. Its description in RNAcentral is "TPP riboswitch (THI element)". It matches the Rfam family "TPP riboswitch aptamer (THI element)", at positions 8 to 91 of the family's 105-position model. Rfam says of the family: Vitamin B(1) in its active form thiamin pyrophosphate (TPP) is an essential coenzyme that is synthesised by coupling of pyrimidine and thiazole moieties in bacteria. The previously detected thiamin-regulatory element, thi box was extended, resulting in a new, highly conserved RNA secondary structure, the THI element, which is widely distributed in eubacteria and also occurs in some archaea. The record is from RNAcentral.